RNAcentral lists this ribosomal RNA (622 nucleotides) under Lobophora hederacea. RNAcentral describes it as "LSU rRNA". It matches the Rfam family "Eukaryotic large subunit ribosomal RNA", at positions 83 to 664 of the family's 3401-position model. Lineage: Eukaryota; Phaeophyceae; Dictyotales; Dictyotaceae. The record is from RNAcentral.
GUAACGGCGAGUGAAGCGGGAAGAGCUCAUGUUUGAAAUCCAGCUCUGAACGGUGCUGGAGUUGUAACCUAGAGGUGCGUGUUGCCUGCCGGGGGGGCCGCGGCUAAGUCCGAUUUGAAAAGGGCACCAAGGAGGGUGGCAGUCCCGUUCGUGCCGCAGUCCCGCCGGCGAUGUGGCCCGCUUCCAACGAGUCGAGUUGCUUGGGAUUGCAGCUCAAAGUGGGUGGUAAACUCCAUCCAAAGCUAAACACGUGUGGGAGACCGAUAGCGAACAAGUACCGUGAGGGAAAGAUGCAAAGAACUUUGAAAAGAGAGUCAAAGAGUGCCUGAAAUUGCUGAGAGGGAAGCGAAGGAAAGUAGUGUCGGUCGUGGGGAUCUCGCACACGGGGAGCGGCCCGAUCUUCGGGUCGGGCCCUCUCCGUUAUCCCCCGCACUGUCAGGGGCGGGUGCGCGGAUUGGCCGAGGCGGCGGCCAGAGGUAAAGGUGUUCCGAGGUAACAGCCGGACGAAUGCGGCAAUCAGGAUCCGCGUCUCGGGCGCGGCCGUCCCUGACGAAAUGUUUUUCUUUACCCCGUCUUGGGGACGGACCAUCGGUACGUCAAUGAUCGCGAAAACAGCAGUGCU